Pelobates cultripes (western spadefoot toad) is the source of this 361-nucleotide non-coding RNA. The record is from the annotation of a GenBank genome assembly. Lineage: Eukaryota; Metazoa; Chordata; Amphibia; Anura; Pelobatidae.
CACAGGUCUUUUGACAGUUAUUUCUGCUCCCCAUGGCUCAGUAUCUAGCCUGCUCAGUGCAUCCACGCGGGGCUAACAAACCUAUUGACUACGUAUACACAGACACUAAAUGCAACUUAAAAUGCCACAGGUAUGGGAAAUUAACCUUUAAUUGCCAUUUUAAACUGUGUGUGUCACCUAGUGUGUCUGUAACAUGGCCAAACAUUCAAGGGUAUGUAAACUUUUGAUCAGGUCCAUUUGGGGGAUUACUGUUAUCAUUAUGAUAAAAGGAGCCCAACAACUAUGUGAUAAUAAAUGGCUUCAUAUGAUCACUAUCGUUCAAUAAAAUACAUUUUAUAUAGCACAACUGUAUAUAGAAAAU